ACGUAGGAGGCAAGCGUUAUCCGGAGUUACUGGGCGUAACGCGUGCGCAGGCGGUUCGCUAAGACAGGUGUGAAAUCCCCGGGCUUAACCUGGGAAUGGCGCUUGUGACUGGCGGGCUGGAGUACGGCAGAGGGGGGUGGAAUUCCACGUGUAGCAGUGAAAUGCGUAGAGAUGUGGAGGAACACCGAUGGCGAAGGCAGCCCCCUGGGACAUGACUGACGCUCAGGUACGAAAGCGUGGGGAGCAAACAG
RNAcentral lists this ribosomal RNA (251 nucleotides) under uncultured prokaryote. RNAcentral describes it as "partial 16S ribosomal RNA". It matches the Rfam family "Bacterial small subunit ribosomal RNA", at positions 525 to 775 of the family's 1533-position model. The record is from RNAcentral.